CAGCAGCCGCGGUAAUACGUAGGUCCCGAGCGUUGUCCGGAUUUAUUGGGCGUAAAGCGAGCGCAGGCGGUUUCUUAAGUCUGAUGUGAAAGCCCCCGGCUCAACCGGGGAGGGUCAUUGGAAACUGGGAAACUUGAGUGCAGAAGAGGAGAGUGGAAUUCCACGUGUAGCGGUGAAAUGCGUAGAGAUGUGGAGGAACACCAGUGGCGAAGGCGACUCUCUGGUCUGUAACUGACGCUGAGGAGCGAAAGCGUGGGGAGCGAACAGGAUUAGAGACCCCCGUAGUCCCUGUCUCUUAUAC
This 301-nucleotide ribosomal RNA is filed under the name uncultured bacterium. Its description in RNAcentral is "partial 16S ribosomal RNA". It matches the Rfam family "Bacterial small subunit ribosomal RNA", at positions 509 to 807 of the family's 1533-position model. The record is from RNAcentral.